GCAAUCGGGAAGCUGGCGAGAACCAGGCGACAGCCGGAGGGCAGCGGCGGGCUCGCGCGCGAGGCUUUCUAGGAACAAGGGCGCCGCAGAGGAAUGUGCGGGAGAGAGAUCUUAUUCCGAAGAGUCUUCAGAAAUGUGAUUCACCUGCUAUAGAAGUAUUUAUUCUGCUUUCAGAAUUCCAGCACGGAAUUCUGUUCUACGUGUUAACCAGCCCUACAUACUUUUCACAGCCACCAUGUAAGAUACCUUUUCCGGGUGUUAAAAGAGCCUUCGAGUCCCAUCUGGUAAACGUCAGAUACCUUUUCCGGGUGUUAAAAGAGCCUUCGAGUCCCAUAAUCUGG
Molecule: non-coding RNA, 341 nt
Organism: Python bivittatus (Burmese python)
Lineage: Eukaryota; Metazoa; Chordata; Lepidosauria; Squamata; Pythonidae
Source: RefSeq, a predicted model, not a curated record